GAUGAACGCUGGCGGCGUGCCUAAUACAUGCAAGUCGAGCGAACAGACGAUGAGCUUGCUCCUCUGACGUUAGCGGCGGACGGGUGAGUAACGCGUGGAUAACCUACCUAUAAGACUGGGAUAACUUCGGGAAACCGGCGCUAAUACCGGAGAAUAUAUUGAACCGCAUGGUUCAAUAGUGAAAGACGGUUUUGCUGUCACUUAUAGAUGGAUCCGCGCCGGAUUAGGUAGUUGGUAAGGUAACGGCUUAUCACGGCAACGAUGCGUAGCCGAACUGAGAGGGUGAUCGGCCACACGGGAACUGAGACACGGUCCAGGCUCCUACGGGAGGCAGCAGUAGGGAAUCUUCCGCAGUGGGCGGGAACCUGACGGAGCGGCGCCGCGUGAGUGAUGAAGGUCUUCGGUGCGUGAAACUCUGUUAUUGGGGAAAAACAGAUGUGUAAGUAAAUAUGCACGUCUUGACGGUACCUAAUCAGAAAGCCACGGCUAACUACGUG
RNAcentral lists this ribosomal RNA (497 nucleotides) under uncultured bacterium. RNAcentral describes it as "partial 16S ribosomal RNA". It matches the Rfam family "Bacterial small subunit ribosomal RNA", at positions 28 to 507 of the family's 1533-position model. The record is from RNAcentral.